AUACGUAGGUGACAAGCGUUACCCGGAUUUACUGGGCGUAAAGGGCGUGUAGGCGGUCUUGCAAGUCAGAAGUGAAAUUCCUGAGCUCAACUCGGGCGCUGCUUCUGAAACUGCAGGACUUGAGUGCUGGAGGGGAUAGCGGAAUUCCUAGUGGAGCGGUAAAAUGCGCAGAUAUUAGGAAGAACACCGGUGGCGAAGGCGGCUAUCUGGACAGUAAAGGACGCUGAGGCGCGAAAGCGGGGGGAGCAAACAGGAUUAGAUACCCUGGUAGGCCACGCCGUAAACGAUGAAUACUAGGUGUAGGGGGUAUCGACUCCCUCUGUGCCGCAGUUAACACAAUAAGUAUUCCGCCUGGGGAGUACGGCCGCAAGGUUGAAACUUAAAGGAAUUGACGGGG
RNAcentral lists this ribosomal RNA (397 nucleotides) under uncultured bacterium. RNAcentral's name for it is "partial 16S ribosomal RNA". It matches the Rfam family "Bacterial small subunit ribosomal RNA", at positions 523 to 918 of the family's 1533-position model. The record is from RNAcentral.